This is a long non-coding RNA of Triticum dicoccoides, 1479 nucleotides long. RefSeq lists it as uncharacterized. The record is from RefSeq and is a predicted model, not a curated record. The transcript is spliced from 2 exons. Lineage: Eukaryota; Viridiplantae; Streptophyta; Magnoliopsida; Poales; Poaceae.
UGGUGGUUAGCUUCUUGUGUACACCACAUCGGACGGGAGCAACAUAUAUAUGCACACACACUAGACGGGAGGUAGGACGAAGUAAAUGCGAUAACAACUCAGCGACAUGGUAGAUGGAGUGUAAGUGUAGAACUAGAGAUGAGUUAUUGACUUAAGUUGCCAUACACUUAUUUAACAUGAACUAUAGGAGUCUUGUUGAGAUUGCACAUCCACUCCUCCAACAAGGUGAGAUUGUUGUACUCGGCUAGAUUUUUAGAUUGAAGGUAGAGCAUAAAGGAAAUUAAUUUCAUUUAGCUACAUUAGGUUCUGUCAAGAUCUUUCAAAGACAAUAUAUCAUCUCUUGUUCUCUACAGAAUACAUAUCAUUGAGAAGAUCAAUGGUUGAAUGAUGUUGUGAAACAAUAUCAACAUCUAAAGAGUAUCAUGUGUUAUAAUAGAAGUCCGCCGUACUGAUUGUCUAAAGAUGUUUAGUACCAUGAUGAUGAUAUAAUAGACGUGCUCCAUUUACUAAAAGAGAGUCCACAGAGAAUCAAUUGUAUAUGUUGUAGCUACCAUGACUAAAAGAGAGUCCACAUUCAUUGACUAACUGAAAUGUUCAGGCUAUCCUUGAAAUUUGUUCCUUAUGUUACAAAACUUCUUAAUCAUAAAAUUAUUAUUAGUUAUAAUAUCUAUUAAAGAAACCAUAUAUUUCAAAAUAAAUUUGCAUCACUAUCAAAAAUAAAUAUUUAAAAAUCAAUAAUGGAGCAAAUUGCUUCUCUUCCCCAACUGUCACUCUCCAAACCUUUUUGAUUUUAGUUUUUAGGCAGGUUUUUUAUGUCGGACGCUUUGGCCUUUCCGGUGGCGAUGGUGGAAGCGCUCAAUAGUCUUCUUCGGCCACACGUUGUUGGUGGUGGUAGUGACGCAAACCCGGCGAAUAAGGUCCCAUCUAGCCCCCCUAUCAAGAGGGUAUUAUCUGUGCCGGCGUCGAUGGCGAAUUUCCUACCGGUCAUUCUAGCUGUUGAGCCCCCAACUGGGUGCAACUAAACUUACCGGAGUCAGACCGUCUGGAUCAAACCUCCUGGCCUCAACUCUACCAAUGACCAUGACUGUAACACGUGGUCGAAUGAUCAGAGGGCCCUGUGCUAUGACUGCCGGUCAUGGAAGGCUGGCGUGCUCGCAAACCUGAAGAAUGACCGGAAGAAGAUCGCCAACGUCAACAUCAUAUUCCUCGCCGUCAUCUACUCUGUUGGGUGCUGCACUUUCAGGAACAAGUAAUAACAGGCCGAACAACUCGUACCCAGCCUGGAAGUGAGGUGCCUGGCGAGGCUUUGGUAAUUAGGCUGGUGUUCAAUGUUAAUGGUUGGCUCAUUGUCCUGUGUCAAGCAACACUAUCGCCCGUCCUAUAGCUCCAAUGAUGUUUGAACCGUUGAUAGUUGGCACAGUACAUGCUUCUAUGUUGACCUCAGAUAUAUCACAUAUGGAGGCUCCUGUUAUCAUGAUA